This 76-nucleotide transfer RNA is filed under the name Vibrio mediterranei. RNAcentral describes it as "tRNA-Pro". The record is from RNAcentral. Lineage: Bacteria; Pseudomonadati; Pseudomonadota; Gammaproteobacteria; Vibrionales; Vibrionaceae.
GGACUGUAGCGCAGCUUGGUAGCGCACCGUCAUGGGGUGUCGGGGGUCGCUGGUUCAAAUCCAAUUCAAGCCCCUA